This 407-nucleotide long non-coding RNA is filed under the name Fukomys damarensis (Damara mole-rat). RNAcentral's name for it is "lncRNA (ENSFDAG00000032109.1)". The record is from RNAcentral. Lineage: Eukaryota; Metazoa; Chordata; Mammalia; Rodentia; Bathyergidae.
UGAAAACUGUAUAAAAGCUAAAAUUUUUCUUUUUUCAGUGCUCUUCCUUUGGACAGGAGUCUGUUGAGCCAGUAUUCACCUUCCAUAAACCCUCCUGAUUCCCAUUGGCCUCGUCUGUCUCUUGAAAUUCUACAACAGCUGUCUUGAGGACCAUGCAGGGUUGUCUGCCCAUUAGCCAUGGUGGCACUAUACUUUCAGGUGCCCAGGAACACCUGUGCCGGCAUCAUCAGCUUACAGCAUCACAGGAAGGACUCUCCAGUAGGAAAAGUACCAGAUCUGCCAUCAAAAGAAGAUGCCACACGUCACCCACAUCUGCUGACGUUGUAAGGAGAGUGAGGACAUUGCCUUCUUAAAGCCCGGAGACUGCUGUGACCCAGCCCUGCGUGGGAGCAUUGUGCCCCGCUAAG